GACGAACGCUGGCGGCGUGCUUAACACAUGCAAGUCGAACGGAAAGGCCCUGCUUUUGUGGGGUGCUCGAGUGGCGAACGGGUGAGUAACACGUGAGUAACCUGCCCUUGACUUUGGGAUAACUUCAGGAAACUGGGGCUAAUACCGGAUAGGAGCUCCUGCUGCAUGGUGGGGGUUGGAAAGUUUCGGCGGUUGGGGAUGGACUCGCGGCUUAUCAGCUUGUUGGUGGGGUAGUGGCUUACCAAGGCUUUGACUGGUAGCCGGCCUGAGAGGGUGACCGGCCACAUUGGGACUGAGAUACGGCCCAGACUCCUACGGGAGGCAGCAGUGGGGAAUAUUGCACGAUGGGCGGAAUCCUGAUGCAGCAACGCCGCGUGCGGGAUCACGGCCUUCGGGGUGUAAACCGCUUUCGCCUGUGACGAAGCGUGAGUGACGGUAAUGGGUAAAGAAGCACCGGCUAACUACGUG
Molecule: ribosomal RNA, 468 nt
Filed under: uncultured bacterium
Lineage: Bacteria
Description: partial 16S ribosomal RNA
Rfam family: Bacterial small subunit ribosomal RNA
Source: RNAcentral